UACAGAGGUCUCAAGCGUUGUUCGGAUUCAUUGGGCGUAAAGGGUGCGUAGGCGGCGCGGUAAGUCGGGUGUGAAAUCUCUGAGCUUAACUCAGAACGGCCAAGUGAUACUGCAGUGCUAGAGUGCAGAAAGGGCAAUCGGAAUUCUUGGUGUAGCGGUGAAAUGCGUAGAUAUCAAGAGGAACACCUGAGGCGAAGGCGGGUUGCUAGGCUGACACUGACGCUGAGUGCGCGAAAGCCAGGGGAGCAAACGGG
RNAcentral lists this ribosomal RNA (254 nucleotides) under uncultured bacterium. RNAcentral describes it as "partial 16S ribosomal RNA". It matches the Rfam family "Bacterial small subunit ribosomal RNA", at positions 524 to 776 of the family's 1533-position model. The record is from RNAcentral.